GAGUUGGUAGCUCAGUGGUUGAGUGCAUGCUUUGUAUAAAUGAUGUCCUGGGUUCAACCCCAGCUUCUCA
RNAcentral lists this transfer RNA (70 nucleotides) under Dallia pectoralis (Alaska blackfish). Its description in RNAcentral is "tRNA-OTHER". The record is from RNAcentral. Lineage: Eukaryota; Metazoa; Chordata; Actinopteri; Esociformes; Umbridae.